GGUAGUCCACGCCGUAAACGUUGGGCGCUAGAUGUAGGGACCUUUCCACGGUUUCUGUGUCGUAGCUAACGCAUUAAGCGCCCCGCCUGGGGAGUACGGCCGCAAGGCUAAAACUCAAAGGAAUUGACGGGGGCCCGCACAAGCGGCGGAGCAUGCGGAUUAAUUCGAUGCAACGCGAAGAACCUUACCAAGGCUUGACAUACACCGGAAACGGCCAGAGAUGGUCGCCCCCUUGUGGUCGGUGUACAGGUGGUGCAUGGUUGUCGUCAGCUCGUGUCGUGAGAUGUUGGGUUAAGUCCCGCAACGAGCGCAACCCUCGUUCUAUGUUGCCAGCGCGUUAUGGCGGGGACUCAUAGGAGACUGCCGGGGUCAACUCGGAGGAAGGUGGGGAUGACGUCAAAUCAUCAUGCCCCUUAUGUCUUGGGCUUCACGCAUGCUACAAUGGCCGGUACAAAGGGCUGCGAUACCGUAAGGUGGAGCGAAUCCCAAAAAGCCGGUCUCAGUUCGGAUUGAGGUCUGCAACUCGACCUCAUGAAGUCGGAGUCGCUAGUAAUCGCAGAUCAGCAACGCUGCGGUGAAUACGUUCCCGGGCCUUGUACACACCGCCCGUCAAGUCAUGAAAGUCGGUAACACCCGAAGCCGGUGGCCUAACCCUUGUGGAAGGAGCCGUCGAAGGUGGGAUCGGUGAUUAGGACUAAGUCGUAACAAGGUAGC
Molecule: ribosomal RNA, 714 nt
Filed under: uncultured Bacillus sp.
Lineage: Bacteria; Bacillati; Bacillota; Bacilli; Caryophanales; Bacillaceae
Description: bacterial SSU rRNA
Rfam family: Bacterial small subunit ribosomal RNA
Source: RNAcentral